AAAACAACCCUACGGGAGGCAGCAGGGAGGAAUAUUGGUCAAUGGACGGAAGUCUGAACCAGCCAUGCCGCGUGAAGGAUGAAGGCGUUCUGCGUUGUAAACUUCUUUUAUCUGGGAAGAAACCAUCUUUUUCUAAGGAUGUUGACGGUACCAGAGGAAUAAGCACCGGCUAACUCCGUGCCAGCAGCCGCGGUAAUACGGAGGGUGCAAGCGUUAUCCGGAUUUACUGGGUUUAAAGGGUGUGUAGGCGGACUUUUAAGUCAGGGGUGAAAUCUCCGAGCUCAACUCGGAAACUGCCUUUGAUACUAUUAGUCUUGAAUUAUGUUGAGGUUGGCGGAAU
This 340-nucleotide ribosomal RNA is filed under the name uncultured bacterium. RNAcentral's name for it is "bacterial SSU rRNA". It matches the Rfam family "Bacterial small subunit ribosomal RNA", at positions 330 to 667 of the family's 1533-position model. The record is from RNAcentral.